CGCACAUAAGACAUGCAAGUCGAACGGAAGUCGUACUAAUUGAAGUGGAUUGAAGAUUUAUUGGAUUGAAGCAGAUUUUAAUACAAUGGCUUUAGUGGCGGACUGGUGAGUAACACGUAAGCAACCUGCCUAUUAGAGGGGAAUAACAAUGAGAAAUCAUUGCUAAUACCGCAUAAGCUUGUAGGACCGCAUGGUCUAGCAAGAAAAGGAGCAAUCCGCUAAUAGAUGGGCUUGCGGCUGAUUAGCUAGUUGGUUAGGUAACGGCUGACCAAGGCAACGAUCAGUAGCCGGGCUGAGAGGCUCUGCGGCCACAUUGGGACUGAGAUACGGCCCAGACUCCUACGGGAGGCAGCAGUCGGGAAUAUUGCGCAAUGGAGGAAACUCUGACGCAGUGACGCCGCGUAUAGGAAGAAGGUUUUAGGAUUGUAAACUAUUUUAGACAGGGAAGAAAUUUGACAGUACCUGUAGAAUAAGCUCCGGCUAACUACGUGCC
RNAcentral lists this ribosomal RNA (493 nucleotides) under uncultured organism. RNAcentral's name for it is "SSU rRNA". It matches the Rfam family "Bacterial small subunit ribosomal RNA", at positions 43 to 509 of the family's 1533-position model. The record is from RNAcentral.